UGAGAUAUAGCAUAUAAAAUGUACUCCGCUUACGCCGGAGAGAUGACUUAAAUUAAGGUCUAUUUCAA
RNAcentral lists this transfer RNA (68 nucleotides) under Lepetodrilus nux. RNAcentral's name for it is "tRNA-Val". Lineage: Eukaryota; Metazoa; Mollusca; Gastropoda; Lepetellida; Lepetodrilidae. The record is from RNAcentral.